RNAcentral lists this ribosomal RNA (422 nucleotides) under uncultured bacterium. RNAcentral describes it as "bacterial SSU rRNA". It matches the Rfam family "Bacterial small subunit ribosomal RNA", at positions 370 to 783 of the family's 1533-position model. The record is from RNAcentral.
AAUGGGCGAAAGCCUGAUGGAGCGACACCGCGUGAAGGAUGAAGGUCUUCGGAUUGUAAACUUCUUUAGACCUAGAUGAAGGCAACCGGGUGAAUAAUCCGGUUGUUUGACAGUAUAGGUAGAAUAAGCCACGGCUAACUCUGUGCCAGCAGCCGCGGUAAUACAGAGGUGGCAAACGUUGUCCGGAUUUAUUGGGUGUAAAGGGCAUGUAGGCGGCUUCGUAAGUCAAAGGUGAAAUGGCCCGGCUCAACCAGGUCAUUGCCUUUGAAACUGCGGGGCUCGAGUACGGAAGAGGAAAGCGGAAUUCCCAGUGUAGCGGUGAAAUGCGUAGAUAUUGGGAGGAACACCGGUGGCGAAGGCGGCUUUCUGGUCCCGAAACUGACGCUGAGAUGCGAAAGCCAGGGGAGCAAACGGGAUUAGAU